AGCCCUACGGGAGGCAGCAGUGAGGAAUAUUGGUCAAUGGGCUUACGCCUGAACCAGCCAAGUCGCGUGAGGGAAGACUGCCCUAUGGGUUGUAAACCUCUUUUGUCAGGGAGCAACGCCGGCUACGUGUAGCCGGACUGAGAGUACCUGAAGAAAAAGCAUCGGCUAACUCCGUGCCAGCAGCCGCGGUAAUACGGAGGAUGCGAGCGUUAUCCGGAUUUAUUGGGUUUAAAGGGUGCGUAGGCGGAAUGCAAAGUCAGCGGUAAAAUCGCGGGGCUAAAGAUAGCUC
This 289-nucleotide ribosomal RNA is filed under the name uncultured bacterium. Its description in RNAcentral is "partial 16S ribosomal RNA". It matches the Rfam family "Bacterial small subunit ribosomal RNA", at positions 335 to 620 of the family's 1533-position model. The record is from RNAcentral.